This 336-nucleotide unclassified non-coding RNA is filed under the name soil metagenome. RNAcentral describes it as "partial contains 5.8S ribosomal RNA, internal transcribed spacer 2, and large subunit ribosomal RNA". The stretch from base 1 to 120 matches the Rfam family "5.8S ribosomal RNA", at positions 35 to 154 of the family's 154-position model. The record is from RNAcentral.
GAUGAAGAACGUAGCGAAAUGCGAUACGUAAUGUGAAUUGCAGAAUUCAGUGAAUCAUCGAAUCUUUGAACGCACAUUGCGCCCGCUAGUAUUCUGGCGGGCAUGCCUGUCCGAGCGUCAUUUCAACCCAUCAAGCUUAGCGCUUGUGUUGGAGCCCUGCGGCCGCCGCAGCCUCCUAAAAUCAGUGGCGGGCUCGCUAUCACGCUGAGUGCAGUAUUAUUCUUCUCACUCCUGUGGUGUAGCGGGUAACCAGCCGUAAACCCCCCCAUCUAUAAAGGUUGACCUCGGAUCAGGUAGGAAUACCCGCUGAACUUAAGCAUAUCAAUAAGCGGAGGA